This 253-nucleotide ribosomal RNA is filed under the name uncultured bacterium. RNAcentral describes it as "partial 16S ribosomal RNA". It matches the Rfam family "Bacterial small subunit ribosomal RNA", at positions 524 to 776 of the family's 1533-position model. The record is from RNAcentral.
UACGUAGGGUGCAAGCGUUGUCCGGAAUUAUUGGGCGUAAAGAGCCCGUAGGCGGUCUGUCACGUCGGGCGUGAAAAUCCAGGGCUUAACCCUGGACCUGCGUUCGAUACGGGCAGACUAGAGUUCGGUAGGGGAGACUGGAAUUCCAGGUGUAGCAGUGAAAUGCGUAGAGAUCUGGAGGAACACCGAUGGCGAAGGCAGCCCCCUGGGCUAACACUGACGCUCAUGCACGAAAGCGUGGGGAGCAAACAGG